RNAcentral lists this non-coding RNA (86 nucleotides) under Chrysemys picta bellii (western painted turtle). Lineage: Eukaryota; Metazoa; Chordata; Testudines; Emydidae. RNAcentral also lists the same sequence under 1 other name. The record is from RNAcentral.
GGAUGGAUGGGAGCCAGCAGUCGGAGAAGAAGAGACGGUGACUAACCUCCGUAACUUGUUCUUCGAGAUGUUGCUCACGUCCAGUC